Molecule: ribosomal RNA, 284 nt
Filed under: uncultured prokaryote
Description: partial 16S ribosomal RNA
Rfam family: Bacterial small subunit ribosomal RNA
Source: RNAcentral
GACGAACUGUUCUAACGUUAUUCGGAAUCACUGGGCUUAAAGGGCGCGUAGGCUGUUUGUUAAGCGGGGUCUGAAAUCCCUCGGCUCAACCGAGGAACUGGGCUUCGAACUGGCAGACUAGAGUGAAGUAGGGGUAAGCGGAACUUGCGGUGGAGCGGUGAAAUGCUUUGAUAUCGCAAGGAACACCGGCGGCGAAGGCGGCUUACUGGGCUUCAACUGACGCUUAAGCGCGAAAGCUAGGGUAGCGAACGGGAUUAGAUACCCGCGUAGUCCCUGAGCGGGCU